AUUGUUAAUCAUCUCAUGGGUGAGGAACUGGAAGCUCAGAGAGGUGCAGUGAUUCACCCAAAGUCACACAGACAUUCAGUGGCAGAGCCAGGUCUGUGUUGUGCUGCUGGGAUAGUAUGUCCCCAGCAGGCAGGGGACACAACGGCAUUCGGGACUUGGAACAGGCCAGUGUUGUAGCAUGUCCAAAGAGCUAUCAGAUGAUGCUGGUGAGGAUAUGAGUGCUGUUUUCAAACAUCUGCAGGGCUUUAGUGUCUGGGAGGCGGUGACCCUGUUCUGAAUGUCCCCAGGGGUCAGCAGUGUGACCAAUAACGGCUGACAUACGACUGUGCUUGCUUUGAGCUCAGCACUGCUUGGAGCACUUCAGAGAGCCCUGUGCCCUGAUGAGGUAGGUCUAUUGUGACCUACGUGUCACACAGGAACAAACAGAAGUGCUCAAGGGUGCGCAGCUGGCUAAGCAGUGGGGCUGGGCCAGGCAGCCUGGCUCCAGCCUGUGCUCUCGACCUCUGUGCCAUCUCGACUCUCUGCCACAGGAAGGUCAUUAUGAAGACAAGGACUUGCCCAUGGAUUUUAAGAAGCACUAAGAUCAGUCUGAAAAUGGAGCCUGGGGAUGAGUGUGAGCCCCUCCUCUCCUAACAUGCACAAGGAGACAUGGAAGCAUGUGUGGCUUGGAUAUUUUGAGGACGGAAGAAUCUGUGGACCAGGUGGGAGGCAAAACAAGGCAAAGACAACAAAAGCAAAAUAAACAAAUGGGACUACGUCAAACUAAAAAGCUUUUGCACAGUGAAGGAAACCAUCAACAAAACAAAAAGUCAACUUAAUGGGAGAAGAUAUUCACAAAUGUUAUAUGAAAUAAGUGGUUGACAUCCAAAAUAUAUAAAGAACUCAUAAAACUCAAUAUAAAACAACGACUAUUGAUUAAAAAUGGGCAGAGGACUUGAAUAGACGUUUCUCUAAAGAAGAUAUACAGAUGGCCAACAGACACAUGAAAAGAUGCUCAAUAUCACUCAUCAUCAGAGAAAAUGCAAAUCAAAACCACAUUGAGAUAUCACUUCACACCUGUCAGAAUGGAGAGUAUCAAAAAGUUAAGAAUAACAGGUGUUGGUGGAAGAUGUGGAGAAAAUAGAACCUUCUGCAUGUUGGUGGGAAUGUAAAUUGGUUCAGCCACUCUGGGAAACAGUAUGGAGAUUCCUCAAAAAAUUAAAAACAGAACUACAAUAUGAUCUAGCAGUUCCACUUUUGGGCAUUUAUCUGAAGAAAAUGAAAACACCAAUCUGAAGAGAUAUAUACAGCCCCAUGUUCACUGAAGCAUUAUUUACAACAGCCAAGAUAUGGAAGCAAUUAAAGUGCCCAUCAAUAGAUGAAUGGAUAAAUUAGAUGUGGUAUAUACAUACAGUGGAAUAUUACUCAGCCACAGAAAAGAAUGAAAUCUUACCAUUUGUGACACCAUGAUGGACCCAGAAGGUA
Panthera uncia (snow leopard) is the source of this 1464-nucleotide long non-coding RNA. RefSeq lists it as uncharacterized. Lineage: Eukaryota; Metazoa; Chordata; Mammalia; Carnivora; Felidae. The transcript has 2 exons. The record is from RefSeq and is a predicted model, not a curated record.